RNAcentral lists this transfer RNA (73 nucleotides) under Garcinia mangostana. RNAcentral's name for it is "tRNA-Met". It matches the Rfam family "tRNA". Rfam says of the family: Transfer RNA (tRNA) molecules are approximately 80 nucleotides in length. Their secondary structure includes four short double-helical elements and three loops (D, anti-codon, and T loops). Further hydrogen bonds mediate the characteristic L-shaped molecular structure. tRNAs have two regions of fundamental functional importance: the anti-codon, which is responsible for specific mRNA codon recognition, and the 3' end, to which the tRNAs corresponding amino acid is attached (by aminoacyl-tRNA synthetases). tRNAs cope with the degeneracy of the genetic code in two manners: having more than one tRNA (with a specific anti-codon) for a particular amino acid; and 'wobble' base-pairing, i.e. permitting non-standard base-pairing at the 3rd anti-codon position. Lineage: Eukaryota; Viridiplantae; Streptophyta; Magnoliopsida; Malpighiales; Clusiaceae. The record is from RNAcentral.
AGCGGGGUUGAGUAAUUGGUGAACUCAUCAGGCUCAUAAACUGAAGAUCUUGGUUCAAAUCCAGGUCACGCCU